This 222-nucleotide ribosomal RNA is filed under the name Triticum aestivum (bread wheat). RNAcentral's name for it is "partial small subunit ribosomal RNA". Lineage: Eukaryota; Viridiplantae; Streptophyta; Magnoliopsida; Poales; Poaceae. The record is from RNAcentral.
AUGAAUCUGUUAAGUUGGAACUGCCGGGGUGGGGGGAAUCCCCGGAUAGUUCGUGAUGUGGCGACGUUGGUGCAGUCGCAUUCCCCCAUGUUUGUGUUUUUGUGUGAAACUCGACAAAAAGCUAGUAAGAUGAGAAGAAUUAGAGGGCGUCUCGGCCUUUACGGCUUUGUGGGUGUGGAUAGUAAUGGUUUAAGCGGUGGCCUAGCAUUGUUUUGGCACGAA